GUCACAAAGAUUGGGAACAAAUCAAGGCCAUGUCCAGCAGCAUUACUAAAUGACUGCGGACAAGAUGAAUUCUUAAUAAUCUUCACAAAUUAUGGAAAACGUUAUAUCCACAAUUACUUAUAAGAUAAAUCUUGAGGAGUCAAAACACCAUUGACAAUCCUCAUCAAAGUCAACACUACCAGGCGAAAGUUCCAAAUGGUCUUCUUUUCAGAUGACAAGAGGAAUCAGCCCCAUACGAAGAUUAUCAAAGAAAAAUUUGAGAAGAAAAACUGUACUAAGGUACAAGCUUGAUUCAAGUUCACGCAGACAAAAAGGCUGCCAAUUCUUCACAAGAUCAGAUAAUAUAUAGGACUCUAUCACCGCAACAAUACCAUAAUGAGCAUACAGAGAUCAUCAACUACAAAAGUUCUUAUUCACUUACUUAUCAGGAAAAGGCUGAGAAGAUUACAACCACACUCAACAGCAGACUUCACGUGAUUUCACAAAGCCAAUGUAAGCUUCACUCUACACAGGAUCAAGG
Nylanderia fulva is the source of this 520-nucleotide non-coding RNA. NCBI's taxonomy places the organism in Eukaryota, Metazoa, Arthropoda, Insecta, Hymenoptera, Formicidae. The record is from RefSeq and is a predicted model, not a curated record.